UUAGAUACAACACUCACAUUGUACAAGUUAUAUGGAACAGGAUUAUUACUUACAGAUAGGUGGCAAGGGACAACAGAAGCCCAGGAUCCACAGUGAGCUGGUCAGCCGAGGCUCUGGAGAGCUGUCGGGGGUGGAUGGAGUCCUGACUGAACAUGCCACACUUGGACUGCAGCUUAGGGAUCCCAAAAGGCAACCCACCUUGAGUUAACUCAGGGGACAUGUGAGUUGCUGGGCUAAAGCAUUGAAGGGCGUCUUGCUUCUAAGAUAAAGACUAAAGCUCAGGCUAUCCUGAGCAAUUCUUCUCUAACUCAAGAAGUUCUCUUCCCUAGGAGGGCAAAUAACAAAGCCUGGUCUAUUUCUAGCAGUUCCUCCCUGUCUCAGGAUAUUGCAUGCUCACACAUGCUUCAACUAUUCUGAGAACUACAAUCAACAAGACAGAAGAAGACUAGAUGAUGUUUCCUUUCCUGCCCAAUUUAUCUGGUUAAAACGUCUGAUACACUGUUGAAUAGAAGAGGCAAGGGCACAUGUUCAUGUCUUGUUCCUGAUAUUGGGAGAAAGCAUCCCGUUUUUCACCACUCUGGCCAGGACAGCCUAUCUGUGCAGGAGGCAUUGCUGGCACCCCGUGGGGACUGAGGACCAAGGAGGAGCUGCUCCCCCACACACGGUUCGUACUUCUGCUCUGUGAAGAGAGACAACUGUGCCCUGUCACCUUCACUGAACUA
RNAcentral lists this long non-coding RNA (722 nucleotides) under Homo sapiens (human). Its description in RNAcentral is "non-protein coding lnc-PPDPFL-2:3". The record is from RNAcentral. Lineage: Eukaryota; Metazoa; Chordata; Mammalia; Primates; Hominidae.